AUACGAAUGGUGCAAGCGUUGUUCGGAAUCACUGGGCAUAAAGGGCACGUAGGCGGUGGCGUAAGUCAGCUGUGAAAUCCCUCGGCUCAACCGAGGAACUGCAGCUGAAACUGCGUCGCUUGAGUAUGGGAGGGGAGAGCGGAAUUCCAGGUGGAGCGGUGAAAUGCUUAGAUAUCUGGAGGAACGCCGGAGGCGAAAGCGGCUCUCUGGCCCGUUACUGACGCUGAGGUGCGAAAGCUAGGGGAGCAAACAGGAUUAGAAACCCCGGUAGUCC
Molecule: ribosomal RNA, 274 nt
Filed under: uncultured bacterium
Lineage: Bacteria
Description: partial 16S ribosomal RNA
Rfam family: Bacterial small subunit ribosomal RNA
Source: RNAcentral